Non-coding RNA from Monodelphis domestica (gray short-tailed opossum), 411 nucleotides. The record is from the annotation of a RefSeq genome assembly. Lineage: Eukaryota; Metazoa; Chordata; Mammalia; Didelphimorphia; Didelphidae.
AUGGCCUCCCCAGCUCAGCUCCUCUGCUUUCUCUUGCUCUGGCUCCCAGGUUCAGAAGGGGAAAUUGUUUUGACCCAGUCUCCUACGUCCCUGCCUGUGUCUCUGGGAGAGAGAGUCACCAUCAAGUGCAAGGCCAGUCAGAGCCUCUUACACAGUGAUGGGAACACUUACUUACAGUGGUUCCAACAGAAACCAGGAAAAUCUAUUAAAGCACUGAUCUACAGAGUUUCCAAUCUAUACUCUGGGGUUCCCCCUCGGUUCAGUGGCAGUGGGUCUGGGACGGAUUUCACCCUCACAAUCAGCAGUCUGGAGCCUGAGGAUGCUGCCAUGUAUUACUGUCAUCAAAAUACUCACUGGCCUACACAGUGCUUCAGCCCUGAACAAAAACCUCCCCAUACCACUCAGACCUGA